RNAcentral lists this ribosomal RNA (424 nucleotides) under uncultured bacterium. RNAcentral's name for it is "partial 16S ribosomal RNA". It matches the Rfam family "Bacterial small subunit ribosomal RNA", at positions 360 to 776 of the family's 1533-position model. The record is from RNAcentral.
AAUUUUGGACAAUGGGCGCAAGCCUGAUCCAGCCAUGCCGCGUGAGUGAAGAAGGCCUUUGGGUUGUUAAGCACUUUAAGCUGGGAGGAAGGGUUGUAGGUUAAUACCCUGCAAUUUUGACGUUACUAACAGAAUAAGCACUGGCUUACUUCGUGCCAGCAGCCGCGGUAAUACGAAUGGUGCAAGCGUGAAUCGGAAUUACUGGGCGUAAAGCGAGCGUAGGUGGUUCGUUAAGUUGGAAGUGAAAGCCCCGGGCUUAACCUGGGAAUUGCUUUCAAAACUGACGAGCUAGAGUACGGUAGAGGGUAGUGGAAUUUCCUGUGUAGCGGUGAAAUGCGUAGAUAUAGGAAGGAACAUCAGUGGCGAAGGCGACUACCUGGACUGAUACUGACACUGAGGUGCGAAAGCGUGGGGAGCAAACAGG